RNAcentral lists this ribosomal RNA (463 nucleotides) under uncultured bacterium. RNAcentral describes it as "bacterial SSU rRNA". It matches the Rfam family "Bacterial small subunit ribosomal RNA", at positions 335 to 791 of the family's 1533-position model. The record is from RNAcentral.
ACUCCUACGGGAGGCAGCAGUGGGGAAUAUUGCACAAUGGGCGCAAGCCUGAUGCAGCCAUGCCGCGUGUGUGAAGAAGGCCUUCGGGUUGUAAAGCACUUUCAGUUGUGAGGAAGGUGGUGUCGUUAAUAGCGGCAUCAUUUGACGUUAGCAACAGAAGAAGCACCGGCUAACUCCGUGCCAGCAGCCGCGGUAAUACGGAGGGUGCGAGCGUUAAUCGGAAUUACUGGGCGUAAAGCGCAUGCAGGUGGUUUGUUAAGUCAGAUGUGAAAGCCCGGGGCUCAACCUCGGAACUGCAUUUGAAACUGGCAGACUAGAGUACUGUAGAGGGGGUAGAAUUUCAGGUGUAGCGGUGAAAUGCGUAGAGAUCUGAAGGAAUACCGGUGGCGAAGGCGGCCCCCUGGACAGAUACUGACACUCAGAUGCGAAAGCGUGGGGAGCAAACAGGAUUAGAUACCCUGGU